UACGUAGGGUCCGAGCGUUGUCCGGAUUUAUUGGGCGUAAAGAGCGUGUAGGCGGCCAGGUAGGUCUGGUGUGAAAACUCGAGGCUUAACCUUGAGAUGUCAUCGGAAACCAUUUGGCUAGAGUCCGGAAGAGGAAAGUGGAAUUCCUGGUGUAGCGGUGAAAUGCGCAGAUAUCAGGAAGAACACCAAUGGCGAAAGCAGCUUUCUGGGACGGUACUGACGCUGAGACGCGAAAGCGUGGGGAGCGAACAGG
This 253-nucleotide ribosomal RNA is filed under the name uncultured bacterium. Its description in RNAcentral is "partial 16S ribosomal RNA". It matches the Rfam family "Bacterial small subunit ribosomal RNA", at positions 524 to 776 of the family's 1533-position model. The record is from RNAcentral.